RNAcentral lists this ribosomal RNA (503 nucleotides) under uncultured bacterium. RNAcentral's name for it is "partial 16S ribosomal RNA". It matches the Rfam family "Bacterial small subunit ribosomal RNA", at positions 30 to 523 of the family's 1533-position model. The record is from RNAcentral.
AUUGAACGCCGGCGGCAGGCUUAACACAUGCAAGUCGAGCGGGGUGAUGGUGCUUGCACUAUCACUUAGCGGCGGACGGGUGAGUAAUGCUUAGGAAUCUGCCUAUUAGUGGGGGACAACAUCUCGAAAGGGAUGCUAAUACCGCAUACGUCCUACGGGAGAAAGCAGGGGAUCACUCGUGACCUUGCGCUAAUAGAUGAGCCUAAGUCGGAUUAGCUAGUUGGUGGUGUAAAGGCCUACCAAGGCGACGAUCUGUAGCGGGUCUGAGAGGAUGAUCCGCCACACUGGGACUGAGACACGGCCCAGACUCCUACGGGAGGCAGCAGUGGGGAAUAUUGGACAAUGGGGGGAACCCUGAUCCAGCCAUGCCGCGUGUGUGAAGAAGGCCUUAUGGUUGUAAAGCACUUUAAGCGAGGAGGAGGCUCUUUCGGUUAAUACCCAAGAUGAGUGGACGUUACUCGCAGAAUAAGCACCGGCUAACUCUGUGCCAGCCGCCGCCGUAA